Molecule: long non-coding RNA, 426 nt
Filed under: Nicotiana tabacum (common tobacco)
Lineage: Eukaryota; Viridiplantae; Streptophyta; Magnoliopsida; Solanales; Solanaceae
Description: long non-coding RNA (NTAB_LNC014475)
Source: RNAcentral
AGCUUGCACUGCUUCAACUUAGCCGACCGAUUCGCCUGAACAAAAUAUAACUCAAUCACAUUGGAAAGAAAAAAGCUUAAAUUUUAUUGUAUAAAAUGUAAAAGGAAACAAAAAUUUGAAACAGAGAAAAAAAAACAAAUUAAACAAGUUGUUACCCUUUUUUUCUUGGCGAAAUCUUUGGGGUUAGAGGAAAGCAUAGGGAUUGAAGCAUUGGCGACGGAAUCGGAACCCAUUAUGGUUUCUGAGUCGACUCGGUAAUUAAAUUUGGCAAAAACCCUAAAUUGAUCAGAGGAAUAUCACAAAGAAUUAGAGAGAAGGAAGGAUAGGUCGAUUGGUAUAGAGAUAGAAGAUAACGGAAAUUUGCUUAAUGCAAUGCUCGCCUCUUUUUAUUUUUCGGACUCUAAUCUAAAAUCUAAAAUUAAUAAC